AGUCUGAGAAAAAAUGUCAAAGGUAGUGCCAAAAUUGUCACUUAAAGAACUGCAGGAAUGGAGUUGGCAUUUACAGAAUUUGGAAGAGAAGCAGGUUUAGUGAUAAAGACCAGAAGCACAGAGCUAAGCAUAUUAAAUAUUGAGGACAUGAAGAGGAAAGAACUGACAGAGGAGGUGAAGAAAGGUGAUCAGGAAGAGCCAUCAAAGUGUUAUCCUGGAAUUCAAGUGAAGACAGUGUUUCAAAGUGGAAAUGAACAGUGUCCUGUAACCCUCAGAGUGAGACUAGAGUCAGAAUGCAAGCUUUUCUCAUUUGAAAUCUAGUGGUUGUGCUACCAAGGCCUGAAACUUCGGAAAAACCUGCAUAACACAAAAUAUAUAUGCCACAGAGAGGAUCCAGAGAGCUCAUCUCCGGUCAGUUAUCUGUAUUUGCAUGUCAACUACAGCAUCAAAAAGCAUAGGCAUGGAUACUAAGGACCCCCUCUGUACACCAACGCCAGUCCAAAGGAUAGUGUGUCACUGUGAACUGGAAAUUCAUCUCUCUUCUUCAUUUUUUUUCUACCUACUUUAUGCUUUAUCUCUAAGUUGAGGCUGUUUAUGGCCUCAUCCUCAAUUACCUUGUCCCUC
RNAcentral lists this long non-coding RNA (624 nucleotides) under Pan troglodytes (chimpanzee). RNAcentral describes it as "lincRNA". The record is from RNAcentral. Lineage: Eukaryota; Metazoa; Chordata; Mammalia; Primates; Hominidae.